GUAGGUGGCAAGCGUUGUCCGGGAAUUAUUGGGGCGUAAAGCGCGCGCAGGCGGUUCUUUAAGUCUGAUGUGAAAGCCCACGGGCUCAACCGUGGAGGGUCAUUGGAAACUGGAGAACUUGAGUACAGAAGAGGAAAGCGGAAUUCCACGUGUAGCGGUGAAAUGCGUAGAGAUGUGGAGGAACAUCAGUGGCGAAGGCGGCUUUCUGGUCUGUAACUGACGCUGAGGCGCGAAAGCGUGGGGAGCAAACAGGAUUAGAUACCCUGGUAGUCCACGCCGUAAACGAUGAGUGCUAAGUGUUAGGGGGUUUCCGCCCCUUAGUGCUGCAGCUAACGCAUUAAGCACUCCGCCUGGGGAGUACGGCCGCAAAGGCUAA
RNAcentral lists this ribosomal RNA (376 nucleotides) under uncultured organism. RNAcentral describes it as "partial 16S ribosomal RNA". It matches the Rfam family "Bacterial small subunit ribosomal RNA", at positions 527 to 897 of the family's 1533-position model. The record is from RNAcentral.